This 492-nucleotide ribosomal RNA is filed under the name uncultured bacterium. Its description in RNAcentral is "partial 16S ribosomal RNA". It matches the Rfam family "Bacterial small subunit ribosomal RNA", at positions 29 to 507 of the family's 1533-position model. The record is from RNAcentral.
AGUGAACGCUGGCGGUAGGCCUAACACAUGCAAGUCGAACGGCAGCACAGUAAGAGCUUGCUCUUACGGGUGGCGAGUGGCGGACGGGUGAGGAGUACAUCGGAAUCUACUUUUUCGUGGGGGAUAACGUAGGGAAACUUACGCUAAUACCGCAUACGACCUACGGGUGAAAGCAGGGGAUCUUCGGACCUUGCGCGAUUGAAUGAGCCGAUGUCGGAUUAGCUAGUUGGCGGGGUAAAGGCCCACCAAGGCGACGAUCCGUAGCUGGUCUGAGAGGAUGAUCAGCCACACUGGAACUGAGAAACGGUCCAGACUCCUACGGGAGGCAGCAGUGGGGAAUAUUGGACAAUGGGCGAAAGCCUGAUCCAGCCAUACCGCGUGGGUGAAGAAGGCCUUCGGGUUGUAAAGCCCUUUUGUUGGGAAAGAAAAGCAGCAGGUUAAUACCCCGCUGUUCUGACGGUACCCAAAGAAUAAGCACCGGCUAACUUCGUG